RNAcentral lists this long non-coding RNA (434 nucleotides) under Homo sapiens (human). RNAcentral's name for it is "hepatocellular carcinoma up-regulated long non- coding RNA". The stretch from base 136 to 375 matches the Rfam family "Highly up-regulated in liver cancer conserved region". The record is from RNAcentral. Lineage: Eukaryota; Metazoa; Chordata; Mammalia; Primates; Hominidae.
CUCUUUAUGCCACGUGAGGAUACAGCAAGGCCCCAAUCUGCAAGCCAGGAAGAGUCGUCACGAGAACCAGACCAUGCAGGAACUCUGAUCGUGGACAUUUCAACCUCCAGAACUGUGAUCCAAAAUGCAUAUGUAUCUUUGGAAGAAACUCUGAAGUAAAGGCCGGAAUAUUCUUUGUUUAAAACAUUAAAAACAAAACAGACCAAAGCAUCAAGCAAGAAGUUUCCUGGCAAUAAACUAAGCACAGCAUUAUUUUUUAAGGAACACAAAUUAAGUGUUCAACCUGUGGCAAAUUUGUACUUUCUCCCUGAAUUAUGUUGUUAUCAAAGAAAAAAAUUGGGAAGCAUGGCAAAAUAUCAUCAAAACUGAAACUAGAAUUAAACAAAACUAAAUUAAAAUGAAAUAAAAUGAUGUCCAUUCUUAAUUCAUCCUCA